RNAcentral lists this ribosomal RNA (204 nucleotides) under uncultured Butyrivibrio sp. RNAcentral's name for it is "partial 16S ribosomal RNA". It matches the Rfam family "Bacterial small subunit ribosomal RNA", at positions 1270 to 1471 of the family's 1533-position model. The record is from RNAcentral. Lineage: Bacteria; Bacillati; Bacillota; Clostridia; Lachnospirales; Lachnospiraceae.
AAUCCCAAAAAUAACGACCCAGUUCGGACUGUAGGCUGCAACCCGCCUGCACGAAGCUGGAAUCGCUAGUAAUCGCAGAUCAGAAUGCUGCGGGUGAAAUACGUUCCCGGGUCUUGUACACACCGCCCGUCACAGCCAUGGGAGUCGGAAAUGCCCAAAGUAAGUAGGCCUAACCGUAACGAAUGUGGCCCCAAAUCAUAAGGA